Long non-coding RNA from Condylura cristata (star-nosed mole), 1475 nucleotides. RefSeq lists it as uncharacterized. Lineage: Eukaryota; Metazoa; Chordata; Mammalia; Eulipotyphla; Talpidae. The record is from RefSeq and is a predicted model, not a curated record. The transcript is spliced from 5 exons.
UCCAUUCUGACAAGGUUCUUCCUCACUUUCACACACACCGCCCAGCCAAGCUUAUUUUGAUGCCAUCAAGACUCAAACGUGCCUUGCCGGGGACCCUCCAACUUCUUCAGGGGCAGAACGGAUAGCGGCACAACCACAGAUAAACAGAAACAGCUGGCUGAUUAGGCUCGCAUGCCAUAGGCGCUGGGGCACCGUGCCUGGACAAGACAUUUUGUGCAAUAAACGCAGCCUAGCGAUUCGCCUUCCGAAGCCUCCGCUACAACUUUCCCGUCCGCACCAGACCUGUGAAACCAAUCCCAGAGGUCGAUUUCACCAAACACUGUUUUGACUCCGAAGCAGAGGCGGUGAUGGACAAUUCCUCCUGAGAACAUGAAGAAUUCUGCCUUCCUCCUAAAUCAAAGCACAGAUUUCCUCACACACUAUAAGUAUGCCUUUGUGGUCUGCAUCCCUGCAAGAUGUGAGUUUCUGAGGGGCAGAGGCCAUAUAUAUGUUGAGUGUGGAAUGCAGAAUAUUUUGAGAAAGGUCAUGUUGAUAACCUGAACUGGGAUUGUUCUUAAAAACACAAGUGAUCUUCAGACAAAGAUUGAACACUGAAGAAGUCCUGUUUGAGGUAGCAAUCUCCAGGCCCUUGGAUGGUCAUCUUGCUCAGUCAUUGGCUGGAGGCCACUUGAAGAGAAUAGUCCUUUUGCUCAAAAGAAGCAGAUUCUUCAGCUGUUAUUACCUGGAGACUACCUUUCCUUGAAAGAGUUCUGAAAAGACUUCUUCCUAUGCCCCAUCCUUAGAGAACAAAGAAUCUAACUUCCAUGCAGUGUUUACCCUAAGGCUAUCUUCAUAGAAGCCAGGGACAGCGGUGUUAUGUGAUGACUGGCAAGAGGCCACACUCAUAGGCAACGUCCAUCUGAUUGCUAGAGAUUUUUCUAUUAUAUUCCAGUUGACAUUUGCUUCAGCAUCAGAAGAAAACUUCUGUUGUAGGACAAGAAAGACCUUGGAGAGCAAACCUGUCACCUCAUGGCAGCUCUAAAACAGCCUUCAUUUUCCAUGUGGUGCAUGUUCAGAAGGAGGAAGCGAUUAACGAUACUUCUGUUAGUGACAAGAAGCUGCAUCUGUCUCUUAUAAAAAUGAUUCCACUUCUACAAAGUGAUGAGGUUAAGCUGGGUAAACUCUAAAACUUCUUUGUCAUCUGAAAUAUCUUUGUCCUAUGAACCACACACAGCAGAAUACUGUGAAGAACAGUUGUAUUUCUGGCUACUUCGAGGCAUCAGGCGAACACAGAUUUGGGUGGAAUGGCUCACAAAAGGAAAAGCAAAGUGUUUGAAAUUCAGUCUCACUGCCUCAUCCUGCUGAAUGAAGGGACUUUGACACUGAUCCUGGAGAGGAGGCUGGAGCUAGAAUGUUCCUUUUUCUGUCCAAUUCCCUGCCCUUCAUUUUUGAAUGUUGGAACCAAGUUUCAAGUCAAAAAAGGAAAAAAAAAAACA